AUGCCAUGAUGAGGGCAUUUUUGCAAAAACUCUUUAAAUUGCUCCCAUGCCCCAUAUAAAGAUUCUUCAUCAAGUUACUAAAAUUAAAUAAUCUAAUUGUCGAGCUU
Humulus lupulus (European hop) is the source of this 107-nucleotide small nucleolar RNA. The record is from RefSeq and is a predicted model, not a curated record. Lineage: Eukaryota; Viridiplantae; Streptophyta; Magnoliopsida; Rosales; Cannabaceae.